This 250-nucleotide ribosomal RNA is filed under the name uncultured bacterium. RNAcentral describes it as "partial 16S ribosomal RNA". It matches the Rfam family "Bacterial small subunit ribosomal RNA", at positions 553 to 778 of the family's 1533-position model. The record is from RNAcentral.
UACGGAGGCACAGUCUUCGACGACAUUGGGUUUAAAGGGUCCGUAGGCGGACUGGUAAGUCAGUGGUGAAAGUCUGCAGCUCAACUGUAGAAUUGCCAUUGAUACUGCUGGUCUUGAAUAACUAUGAAGUAAUUAGAAUGUGUAGUGUAGCGGUGAAAUGCAUAGAUAUUACACAGAAUACCGAUUGCGAAGGCAGGUUACUAGUAGUGAAUUGACGCUGAUGGACGAAAGCGUGGGGAGCGAACAGGAU